AGAUGCGCGCACACCUGUUUAGAAUGAAGCCGUGCCCGCGCGUCACGAUGAGUUGCGCUGGGUCGAGAGGAACAAGAUUCAAGCAAGUUACAAAUCCGAGAAGAAAAUCGAUUCAAAAUAAAAACGUUGGAAGCAGUUGAGAAUGGCGCACUAUCGGCAGAUCUGCUCAAGUGAGUUUGUAAUGGAGCAGAGGGGAUGUCACCGGGUCGCUCUGAGGUAUUUUAACGUUUCCUGCGGGACAGAGAAGGAGAGAGAGCGAUAAAACCAAGAGUCAGCAGACUGAACUGGAAGAGCAUCAUUCAGGGCGCGUUCGGAGCUGGACAGCAGCAUCGCUUCAACUCAUUGUGUUCUACUGAUCAGCCCUGUGGAAACGCGACUGAAUGAACGACGUGGUACGUGCUUUCAACAGCAGAGGAUUUCGAGAGAAAGACCAUGAGAGAGCCCACUGGUGAGAUUCACAUUCAGACUGACUGACAUCCUGACAGCGUGGACUGGGGGAGCUCACCACUGAGCAGGGCAGCGCGUUCACACCGAGAUUCAUCCUGACAGCACGGACUGGGGGAGCUCACCACUGAGCAGGGCAGCGCGUUCACACCGAGAUUCAUCCUGACAGCACGGACUGGGGGAGCUCACCACUGAGCAGGGCAGCGCGUUCACACCGAGAUUCAUCCUGACAGCGUGGACUGGGGGAGCUCACCACUGAGCAGGGCAGCGCGUUCACACCGAGAUUCAUCCUGACAGCACGGACUGGGGGAGCUCACCACUGAGCAGGGCAGCGCGUUCACACCGAGAUUCAUCCUGACAGCACGGACUGGGGGAGCUCACCACUGAGCAGGGCAGCGCGUUCACACCGAGAUUCAUCCUGACAGCACGGACUGAGGGAGCUCACCACUGAGCAGGGCAGCGCGUUCACACCGAGAUUCAUCCUGACAGCACGGACUGGGGGAGCUCACCACUGAGCAGGGCAGCGCGUUCACACCGAGAUUCAUCCUGACAGCACGGACUGGGGGAGCUCACCACUGAGCAGGGCAGCGCGUUCACACCGAGAUUCAUCCUGACAGCACGGACUGGGGGAGCUCACCACUGAGCAGGGCAGCGCGUUCACACCGAGAUUCAUCCUGACAGCACGGACUGGGGGAGCUCACCACUGAGCAGGGCAGCGCGUUCACACCGAGAUUCAUCCUGACAGCACGGACUGGGGGAGCUCAGUGUUAUUGACUCAGUGGGUCGAUGCUUGAGUGGGGUAUCGUUCACUCAGAAGCAUCCUUCAG
Molecule: long non-coding RNA, 1271 nt
Organism: Acipenser ruthenus (sterlet)
Lineage: Eukaryota; Metazoa; Chordata; Actinopteri; Acipenseriformes; Acipenseridae
Exons: 5
Source: RefSeq, a predicted model, not a curated record